GGAAUAUUGGUCAAUGGACGAGAGUCUGAACCAGCCAAGUAGCGUGCAGGACGACGGCCCUAUGGGUUGUAAACUGCUUUUAUGCGGGGAUAAAGUGACGUACGUGUACGUUUUUGUAGGUACCGCAUGAAUAAGGACCGGCUAAUUCCGUGCCAGCAGCCGCGGUAAUACGGAAGGUCCGGGCGUUAUCCGGAUUUAUUGGGUUUAAAGGGAGCGCAGGCCGGAGGUCAAGCGUGACGUGAAAUGUAGCCGCUCAACGGCUGAGUUGCGUCGCGAACUGGCUUUCUUGAGUGAGUACGACGUCAGCGGAAUUCGUGGUGUAGCGGUGAUAUGCUUAGAUAUCACGAAGAACCCCGAUUGCGAAGGCAGCUGACGAGUCCUUUACUGACGCUAAAGCUCGAAGGUGCGGGUAUCGAACA
RNAcentral lists this ribosomal RNA (419 nucleotides) under uncultured Prevotella sp. Its description in RNAcentral is "bacterial SSU rRNA". It matches the Rfam family "Bacterial small subunit ribosomal RNA", at positions 358 to 774 of the family's 1533-position model. The record is from RNAcentral. Lineage: Bacteria; Pseudomonadati; Bacteroidota; Bacteroidia; Bacteroidales; Prevotellaceae.